This 488-nucleotide ribosomal RNA is filed under the name uncultured bacterium. Its description in RNAcentral is "partial 16S ribosomal RNA". It matches the Rfam family "Bacterial small subunit ribosomal RNA", at positions 28 to 507 of the family's 1533-position model. The record is from RNAcentral.
GAUGAACGCUAGCGGCAGGCUUAACACAUGCAAGUCGAGGGGCAGCAUAAUGGAUAGCAAUAUCUAUGGUGGCGACCGGCGCACGGGUGCGUAACGCGUAUGCAACCUACCUUUAACAGGGGGAUAACACUGAGAAAUUGGUACUAAUACCCCAUAAUAUCAUAGAAGGCAUCUUUUAUGGUUGAAAAUUCCGAUGGUUAGAGAUGGGCAUGCGUUGUAUUAGCUAGUUGGUGGGGUAACGGCUCACCAAGGCGACGAUACAUAGGGGGACUGAGAGGUUAACCCCCCACACUGGUACUGAGACACGGACCAGAAUCCUACGGGAGGCAGCAGUGAGGAAUAUUGGUCAAUGGACGCAAGUCUGAACCAGCCAUGCCGCGUGCAGGAGGACGGCUCUAUGAGUUGUAAACUGCUUUUGUACGAGGGUAAACGCAGAUACGUGUAUCUGUCUGAAAGUAUCGGACGAAUAAGGAUCGGCUAACUCCGUG